Molecule: unclassified non-coding RNA, 520 nt
Filed under: uncultured Glomus
Lineage: Eukaryota; Fungi; Glomeromycota; Glomeromycetes; Glomerales; Glomeraceae
Description: SSU rRNA
Rfam family: Eukaryotic small subunit ribosomal RNA
Source: RNAcentral
AGCAGCCGCGGUAAUUCCAGCUCCAAUAGCGUAUAUUAAAGUUGUUGCAGUUAAAAAAGCUCGUAGUUGAAUUUCGGGAUCAAUAUGUCGGUCGUGCCUUCGGUACGUACUGGUAUCAUUGGUCUCUCCUUUCUGACGAACCAUGAUGUCAUUAAUUUGGUGUUAUGGGGGAGUUAGGACUGUUACUUUGAAAAAAUUAGAGUGUUUAAAGCAGGCUUUAGCUUGAAUACAUUAGCAUGGAAUAAUGAAAUAGGACGUUCGAACCUAUUUUGUUGGUUUCUAGGAUCAACGUAAUGAUUAAUAGGGAUAGUUGGGGGGCAUUAGUAUUCAAUUGUCAGAGGUGAAAUUCUUGGAUUUAUUGAAGACUAACUACUGCGAAAGCAUUUGCCAAGGAUGUUUUCAUUAAUCAAGAACGAAAGUUAGGGGAUCGAAGACGAUCAGAUACCGUCGUAGUCUUAACCAUAAACUAUGCCGACUAGGGAUCGGAUGAUGUUAAUUUUUUAAUGACUCAUUCGGCGCC